Molecule: ribosomal RNA, 392 nt
Filed under: uncultured bacterium
Lineage: Bacteria
Description: bacterial SSU rRNA
Rfam family: Bacterial small subunit ribosomal RNA
Source: RNAcentral
AUUGAACGCUGGCGGCAUGCUUUACACAUGCAAGUCGUGCGGCAGCGCGGGACUCAGGCAACUGAGCCCUGGCGGCGAGCGGCGAACGGGUGAGGAAUACAUCGGAACGUACCCCGGAGUGGGGGAUAACCCAGCGAAAGUUGGACUAAUACCGCAUAUGCUCUGAGGAGGAAAGCAGGGGACUUCGCAAGAGGCCUUGCGCUCUGGGAGCGGCCGAUGCCGAUUAGCUAGUUGGUGGGGUAAUGGCUCACCAAGGCGACGAUCGGUAGCUGGUCUGAGAGGAUGAUCAGCCACACUGGGACUGAGACACGGCCCAGACUCCUACGGGAGGCAGCAGUGGGGAAUUUUGGACAAUGGGGCAACCCUGAUCCAGCCAUGCCGCGUGCGGGAAG